This 92-nucleotide small RNA is filed under the name Escherichia coli. Its description in RNAcentral is "partial RtT sRNA". It matches the Rfam family "RtT RNA", at positions 1 to 90 of the family's 130-position model. From Rfam's summary of the family: This family represents a bacterial cis-regulatory element known as RtT RNA. The exact function of RtT is unknown although it is thought that it may be involved in changing the cellular response in relation to amino acid starvation. The record is from RNAcentral. Lineage: Bacteria; Pseudomonadati; Pseudomonadota; Gammaproteobacteria; Enterobacterales; Enterobacteriaceae.
AUUCUGCCCAUGCGGGGAAGGAUGAGAAGCUUCGACCAAGGUUCGACUCGAGCGCCAGCGAGAGAGCGUUGCCGCAGGCAACGACCCGAAGG